RNAcentral lists this ribosomal RNA (844 nucleotides) under Sordariomycetes sp. genotype 1. Its description in RNAcentral is "eukaryotic LSU rRNA". The stretch from base 258 to 844 matches the Rfam family "Eukaryotic large subunit ribosomal RNA", at positions 1 to 597 of the family's 3401-position model. The record is from RNAcentral. Lineage: Eukaryota; Fungi; Ascomycota; Sordariomycetes.
GUGAAUUGCAGAAUUCAGUGAAUCAUCGAAUCUUUGAACGCACAUUGCGCCCAUUAGUAUUCUAGUGGGCAUGCCUAUUCGAGCGUCAUUUCAACCCUUAAGCCUAGUUGCUUAGUGUUGGGAAUCUGCCCUGUAUUUAUAGGGCAGUUCCUUAAAGUGAUCGGCGGAGUUAGGGCAUACUCUAAGCGUAGUAAUAUUCUUCUCGCUUCUGUAGUUGUCCUGGCGGCUUGCCGUUAAACCCCUAUAUUUCUAGUGGUUGACCUCGGAUUAGGUAGGAAUACCCGCUGAACUUAAGCAUAUCAAUAAGCGGAGGAAAAGAAACCAACAGGGAUUGCCCUAGUAACGGCGAGUGAAGCGGCAACAGCUCAAAUUUGAAAUCUGGCCCUAGCGGUCCGAGUUGUAAUUUGUAGAGGAUGCUUUUGGUUAGGUGCCUUCUGAGUUCCCUGGAACGGGACGCCAGAGAGGGUGAGAGCCCCGUACGGUUGGACACCGAGCCUCUAUAUAGCUCCUUCGACGAGUCGAGUAGUUUGGGAAUGCUGCUCUAAAUGGGAGGUAAAUUUCUUCUAAAGCUAAAUACCGGCCAGAGACCGAUAGCGCACAAGUAGAGUGAUCGAAAGAUGAAAAGUACUUUGAAAAGAGGGUUAAAUAGCACGUGAAAUUGUUGAAAGGGAAGCGUUUGCGACCAGACUUUUUCCAGGCGGAUCAUCCGGUGUUCUCACCGGUGCACUUCGCCUGGUUUAGGCCAGCAUCGGUUCUCUUAGGGGGAUAAAGGCCUGGGGAACGUAGCUCCUUCGGGAGUGUUAUAGCCCCUAGCGUAAUACCCUUCGGGGGACCGAGGAACGCG